AAUAUAUUUUAUAGAAAAAAAAUCCAAAUUGAACAAACCAAAAAGCAAAACGUAUUAGUACUACAAACUAGUACUAAUAAUAAAUUUUGAAAAUACUUUAUAAAUAGCUCUUACUAAUAUUUGAUAUUAAUUAAUAAAAAUCACUAAUAUUUAGUGACACUAUAUCAUCUUAAUACCUUGUAAUAAUUUAGUUAGUCUGCUAAUAGUAUCGACCAGUACAGAAAAUACAUAGAAGAAACUUCACGAAGUAAAGUUAAAAUAAACCGUUACUGGUCUGUGUAGCAUGACAAAGGUGAAAGCGGCUAAAAAAUAUCAGUUAUAAUGGAAAAUGAGAACACGAUUUUAAAUUUCAUAAUCAAUACACAUAUAUUUAUGCCAUCGAAAUCAGAAGAGAUUGUUCGAUAUUAUAUACUAUACAUAUACGAUUUAAAAAAUAAAAGAAAUCAUGUCGCAUUGUCUGUACUACUUUACGACGCCACAUGCAAAUAUCACACCGAGAAUAUCGCCGCUGCGCAAAACGAUCUGUACCAGCCGCGACCUUGACACUAACCUAGCACAACGGCCCACCAUUUAGACCAGGUUACGGAGGAAAUACUACGCAGGAAUCUCUUCCUUUGCACCGAAUGGAAAGUUAACAUAUAAUUUAACAAUAUCAUUCAAAGACUUCAGACUAUGGAAAAGUAGUUUAAAAGUGGCAGACACAACAGAUCUAUGUUUCAUUGAUGUUCCAUGAAAUUCAAAAUCUUCUUGGAAGAAUAAUUUAAAAUUGCUUUAACAGAGAAGACGUCGGAAUUUUCAAUUAAAUUUUACUCUAUAAAAAGGAUUUUUUUGAAUGAAAAUAUAAAUUGAACAAGUUUAAAAGGAGAUCGGACGCACCUUUAAGGAUUCGGGCAAAUAGCCAUCAAGGAAGUCCAAGAGUUUAGGUAGUUCUUCCUUGGCAA
This is a long non-coding RNA of Apis mellifera (honey bee), 941 nucleotides long. RefSeq lists it as uncharacterized. NCBI's taxonomy places the organism in Eukaryota, Metazoa, Arthropoda, Insecta, Hymenoptera, Apidae. The record is from RefSeq and is a predicted model, not a curated record. The transcript has 4 exons.